This 462-nucleotide ribosomal RNA is filed under the name uncultured bacterium. RNAcentral describes it as "partial 16S ribosomal RNA". It matches the Rfam family "Bacterial small subunit ribosomal RNA", at positions 28 to 507 of the family's 1533-position model. The record is from RNAcentral.
GACGAACGCUGGCGGCGUGCUUAACACAUGCAAGUCGAGCGGAAAGGCCCUUCGGGGUACUCGAGCGGCGAACGGGUGAGUAACACGUGAGUAACCUGCCCCAGACUUUGGGAUAACCCUCGGAAACGGGGGCUAAUACCGGAUACGACACAGCUUCGCAUGGGGUCUGUGUGGAAAGUUUUUCGGUUUGGGAUGGGCUCGCGGCCUAUCAGCUUGUUGGUGGGGUGAUGGCCUACCAAGGCGACGACGGGUAGCCGGCCUGAGAGGGCGACCGGCCACACUGGGACUGAGACACGGCCCAGACUCCUACUGGAGGCAGCAGUGGGGAAUAUUGCACAAUGGGCGGAAGCCUGAUGCAGCGACGCCGCGUGAGGGAUGACGGCCUUCGGGUUGUAAACCUCUUUCAGCAGGGACGAAGCGUAAGUGACGGUACCUGCAGAAGAAGCGCCGGCCAACUACGUG